GUUCCAUGAAUUCUUAAAGCUAGAAAAUGAGAUUGGAAAUAUCACAAGACAGGAAGCUGUCAGUAUGGUUCCUCCCCUCUUCUUGGAUGUGCAUCGAGAUCAUUUUGUGCUUGAUAUGUGUGCUGCACCAGGUUCAAAAACAUUCCAAUUGCUUGAGAUUAUACACCAGUCAACCAAAGCAGGAUCAUUACCAGAUGGAAUGGUU
Long non-coding RNA from Abrus precatorius (Indian licorice), 205 nucleotides. RefSeq lists it as uncharacterized. The transcript has 3 exons. The record is from RefSeq and is a predicted model, not a curated record. NCBI's taxonomy places the organism in Eukaryota, Viridiplantae, Streptophyta, Magnoliopsida, Fabales, Fabaceae.